Molecule: ribosomal RNA, 433 nt
Filed under: uncultured bacterium
Lineage: Bacteria
Description: partial 16S ribosomal RNA
Rfam family: Bacterial small subunit ribosomal RNA
Source: RNAcentral
AACGAACGCUGGCGGCAUGCCUAACACAUGCAAGUCGAACGAGACCUUCGGGUCUAGUGGCGCACGGGUGCGUAACGCGUGGGAACCUGCCCUUAGGUUCGGAAUAACUCCCCGAAAGGGGUGCUAAUACCGGAUAAUGUCUUCGGACCAAAGAUUUAUCGCCUUUGGAUGGGCCCGCGUUGGAUUAGCUAGUUGGUAGGGUAAAAGCCUACCAAGGCGACGAUCCAUAGCUGGUCUGAGAGGAUGAUCAGCCACACUGGGAAUGAGACACGGCCCAGACUCCUACGGGAGGCAGCAGUGGGGAAUAGUGGACAAUGGGCGAAAGCCUGAUCCAGCAAUGCCGCGUGAGUGAUGAAGGCCUUAGGGUUGUAAAGCUCUUUUACCCGGGAUGAUAAUGACAGUACCGGGAGAAUAAGCGCCGGCUAACUCCGUG